Molecule: long non-coding RNA, 357 nt
Organism: Lucilia sericata (common green bottle fly)
Lineage: Eukaryota; Metazoa; Arthropoda; Insecta; Diptera; Calliphoridae
Exons: 2
Source: RefSeq, a predicted model, not a curated record
UAGCUGCUAUGCCAGCAGCUCUCUACCACAAAAAAUCAACGAUAAAAAGCUGGGUCUGUGAACGAUGAUGAACGAAUAUAAAAACGGCGUGGUCGCCAUUUAUUUUAUUUUCAUAUUAUUAUUGUUGUUGUAUUUGUGCCAUACGUAAAAAAAAAUAAUAAUAAAAAGAAGAAGCAGCAGCAGUACUAGUAGAAACAUAAAGAAGAAGAAACGACAACAACAACAACAAAAUAGCCUUUGAAAAAAAAAAAAGCACAGAGGAUGAUGAUGAAUAAGAGGAGAAGAGCUUUAAGGUGUUGACAACGGUGUGAGGAGUGUGUAAGAGAGGUUAAGGCAAAGAAAAAUUAUAAAAAAAAA